AUUGUACUUCCUCCGUCCGAAAAUACUUGUCAUCAAAAUGAAUAAAAGGGGAUGUAUCUAGAUGUAUCUUAGUUAUAGAUACAUCCCUUUUUGUCCAUUUUGAUGACAAGUAUUUUCGGACGGAGGGAGUAUAUU
Triticum aestivum (bread wheat) is the source of this 135-nucleotide non-coding RNA. Lineage: Eukaryota; Viridiplantae; Streptophyta; Magnoliopsida; Poales; Poaceae. The record is from Rfam.